Molecule: long non-coding RNA, 865 nt
Organism: Cynoglossus semilaevis (tongue sole)
Lineage: Eukaryota; Metazoa; Chordata; Actinopteri; Pleuronectiformes; Cynoglossidae
Exons: 4
Source: RefSeq, a predicted model, not a curated record
UUGAACUUUAUUCCACCGCUGGAUUAAUUACUGACGUGUGGCUACUACAUUUCGGGUAAGUAAGGGCAGAUCAAUUGCCCCCGAUUUAUGGGUAGAACCUUGGACGUGGCAUUUCAGUGAAAUUUCCAUCGUCUAAAAUGUCAGAUGUUUUUAUUCCGAACUCGUUUUAACUAACUACUAAUUUCAUUAAUUUCCCGAAGGAAACUCCCAAACUAUUAAUAAUCUUCUAUCUAUUUAUCUUCCGAGAUUUCUAUAGUUUUAGUGAGUUUGCGCAUGCGUACCCCAACGCACAGAACAGAGUAGUACCGCUGGAAAUCGUAGGGGGCGUCGUUGCAAACUAAAGCCUAUGUAAACCCAUUAACGCAGGGAUUCCCAACAUGCUGUGCGGGCAUACCUGGUGGUGUGGAGGUGCCACUCGGGGGUGCGGGAGAUUAAAAAAAUAAAAAUAAAAAAGUGAUGGCGGUUUGGAGUGAGUUUUUUAUGUAGCAGUGAAAAAAAAAGUUAAAGCAACAGCAAGGAGACAAAGACAGAAAUGGCGGAACCGGAAAAGAAAUAAUGUGCUGUACAGUCUCGGCCUCAGAGGAAGACACGAUCACCUCCUCCACAGACAGUUGUGCUACGACGACGACAGUGCGUUGACUGCUGUAAACAAAGAUUUACUACAAGAACACGUCUGAACCUGGAGAAUUCUGUCUCCCUUGCGGAUGCGGCCGUCUAUUGCAGCGAUACUGUUGGGGUUGACCUGAAAGACAGAGAGUGGAGAAGUGAAAGGUCCUCCUCAUCAUCGGUUCUGUAGCACACCGUCAGUCCCAGUUUGUCCUGCUGCCGCAGCUUACACAGCUCCACCUCCUGCAGAGACAGAAGG